Molecule: transfer RNA, 66 nt
Filed under: Philodina citrina
Lineage: Eukaryota; Metazoa; Rotifera; Eurotatoria; Philodinida; Philodinidae
Description: transfer RNA-Ser
Source: RNAcentral
UUUUUUUUAUAUGAAGAGUUUUCUCUAAUUUCUAAUUAGAAUUUUAUCUCUUUUUAAAAUUUUAAU